RNAcentral lists this microRNA (21 nucleotides) under Bos taurus (domestic cattle). RNAcentral describes it as "bta-miR-631". Its record names the gene bta-miR-631. Lineage: Eukaryota; Metazoa; Chordata; Mammalia; Artiodactyla; Bovidae. The record is from miRBase by way of RNAcentral.
AGACCUGGCUUAGACCUCAGC